UGCAAGUCGCACGAGAAUUACGUAGCAAUACGUAUAGUAAAGUGGCGGAAGGGUGAGGAAUGGGUAGAUUACGUACCCAGGAGAUGGGCAUAACGGCUCGAAAGGGCCGCUAAUACCCGAUAAGACCACGGCAACGCGGUCAAAGGCUGGGGAUCUUCGGACCUAGCGCUCUUGGAUCGGUCUGCUUCCUACCAGCUUGUUGGUGAGGUAACGGCUCACCAAGGCUACGACGGGUACCCGGGCUGAGAGGCUGACCGGGCACAUCGGCACUGAGACACUGGCCGGACACCUACGGGUGGCUGCAGUUCGGAAUAUUCGGCAAUGGACGAAAGUCUGACCGAGCGACGCCGCGUGCGGGAUGAAGGCCCUAUGGGUUGUAAACCGCUUUCGCGAUUAAGUAAAUCAUGCAGGUUUAACAAACCGGUAUGUUGAAUAAGGAUCGUAAAGAAGCCCCCGCUAAUCACGUGCCAGCAGCGGCGGUAAUACGUGAGGGGCGAACGUUGUUCGGUGUCACUGGGCUUAAAGGGUGCGUAGGUGGUUGCGUAAGUAAGGUGUGAAAUCCCUCGGCUUACCCGGGGAAUUGCAUUUUAUACUGCGUGGCUUGAGGACUAAAGGGGAAAAGGGAACUCCAGGUGUAGCGGUGAAAUGCGCAGAUAUCUGGGGGAAGGCCGGCGGCGAAGGCGCUUUUCUGGUUAGUACCUGACACUGAGGCACGAAAGCGUGGGGAGCAAACAGGAUUAGAUACCCUGGUAGUCCACGCCCUAAACUAUGGAUACUACUUAGAAGGUCCUGCAAGGGACUUUUUAACGGAGCAAAAGCGUUAAGUAUCCCGCCUGGGGAGUAUGGUCGC
RNAcentral lists this ribosomal RNA (850 nucleotides) under uncultured bacterium. RNAcentral's name for it is "bacterial SSU rRNA". It matches the Rfam family "Bacterial small subunit ribosomal RNA", at positions 56 to 889 of the family's 1533-position model. The record is from RNAcentral.